This 475-nucleotide ribosomal RNA is filed under the name uncultured bacterium. Its description in RNAcentral is "bacterial SSU rRNA". It matches the Rfam family "Bacterial small subunit ribosomal RNA", at positions 31 to 507 of the family's 1533-position model. The record is from RNAcentral.
GAACGCUAGCGGCAGGCUUAACACAUGCAAGUCGAGGGGUAUGCCGAUUUAUCGGCAGAGACCGGCGCACGGGUGCGUAACGCGUAUGCAAUCUACCUUCACAGAGGGAUAGCCCAGAGAAAUUUGGAUUAAUACCUCAUAGUAUAGCAGUUUCGCAUGAAACCACUAUUAAAGUUCCAACGGUGAAAGAUGAGCAUGCGUCCCAUUAGCUAGAUGGUAAGGUAACGGCUUACCAUGGCUACGAUGGGUAGGGGUCCUGAGAGGGAGAUCCCCCCACACUGGUACUGAGACACGGACCAGACUCCUACGGGAGGCAGCAGUGAGGAAUAUUGGUCAAUGGACGCAAGUCUGAACCAGCCAUGCCGCGUGCAGGAUGACGGUCCUAUGGAUUGUAAACUGCUUUUGUACGAGAAGAAACAACAUUACGUGUAAUGUCUUGACGGUAUCGUAAGAAUAAGGAUCGGCUAACUCCGUG